CGCAAACCUUUAUAGGUUUAAGGGUUGUUUUAAUUAAACAAGUGAAACUCUAGUGUAAAUAGCUAUUAGUUUGGAAAUCAUGCAGGAAAGCAUGAUAUUUAGUGAUGUUUUCUAAACAAAUGACCUCAUUUCCCGAGAGUGCAACAGUGGCCACCCACUUUUAUUUUAGCAGCCUUGGUUUUAAAAAGUAUUUUUCCAAUUAGUUGUUUUUUCAUAGGGGGUUCAGAAAGUUUUUGGUUGAGAGUCAUAAGCCAAGAACCCAACCACACAGCUACAAGAGAUCAAGAUAAGGCACCGUCCUACACAAAAGUGCAUAUGGGUCGCAUGAAUAAUGGAUAUGUGGCUUGAACUCCCGCUGAACUCCCACAGCUUUGUCAAAUGGAGAUCUACAGCAAACCUGCACACCCAUUAAUACAUAUCCUUCAUUGUGCUGUUGUGGCCGUUCAUUCAUGCGUUCUGUGUGUCUGUCACAGCUCUGGGUGCGGCCGAUCGGCUGACACACUCAAACAAGGUACGCUUUGUUCAACCCCGUGGUGUUUGUGGUCGUGUACAUCUAAUGAGGUUAGAUAAACCCUCUACACUGACCUGAGACCUGGGAGAAAGGUGACUGGAGUUAAUGUGUAACACAGGUUUACG
Long non-coding RNA from Cyprinus carpio carpio, 636 nucleotides. NCBI's taxonomy places the organism in Eukaryota, Metazoa, Chordata, Actinopteri, Cypriniformes, Cyprinidae. The record is from Ensembl.